Long non-coding RNA from Dermochelys coriacea (leatherback sea turtle), 174 nucleotides. RefSeq lists it as uncharacterized. The transcript has 3 exons. Lineage: Eukaryota; Metazoa; Chordata; Testudines; Dermochelyidae. The record is from RefSeq and is a predicted model, not a curated record.
AGAGAAUUACUUGGCCUAACAUACUCACACCCUUCCCUUAACUCCUGGUAGUAGGAGACAGAGGACCAGCCUUGUCUCUGGCAUGCCCAAUGAAUUGAUGGUCCAGGCAUCCCACGUUGGUAGGGAUUCAGUUCGAGUGUUGAGUAGCUAAACUGUAUUGCAAAGCUGAGCUGA